Molecule: ribosomal RNA, 695 nt
Filed under: uncultured bacterium
Lineage: Bacteria
Description: bacterial SSU rRNA
Rfam family: Bacterial small subunit ribosomal RNA
Source: RNAcentral
GAUGUCACUAGCUGUUGGUUUUAUUAAUAAAAUUAGUAGCGCAGCAAACGCGAUAAGUUGACCGCCUGGGGAGUACGGUCGCAAGAUUAAAACGCAAAGGAAUUGACGGGGGCCCGCACAAGCGGUGGAGCAUGUGGUUUAAUUCGAUGCAACGCGAAGAACCUUACCUGCUCUUGACAUACAUCGAACCUAGCAGAGAUGCUGGGGUGCCGAAAGGAACGAUGAUACAGGUGCUGCAUGGCUGUCGUCAGCUCGUGUCGUGAGAUGUUGGGUUAAGUCCCGUAACGAGCGCAACCCUUGUUCUUAGUUACCAGCACGUAAUGGUGGGGACUCUAAGGAGACUGCCGGUGACAAACCGGAGGAAGGCGGGGACGACGUCAAGUCAUCAUGGCCCUUACGAGCAGGGCUACACACGUGCUACAAUGGCGGAUACAGAGGGGAGCGAAGCAGUGAUGUGGAGCGAAUCCUAAAAAGUCUGUCGUAGUCCGGAUUGGAGUCUGCAACUCGACUCCAUGAAGUCGGAAUCGCUAGUAAUCGCGAAUCAGCAUGUCGCGGUGAAUACGUUCCCGGGCCUUGUACACACCGCCCGUCACACCAUGGGAGUGGAUUGCACCAGAAGUAGAUAGCUUAACCGAAAGGGGGGGCGUUUACCACGGUGUGGUUCAUGACUGGGGUGAAGUCGUAACAAGGUAACC